GUCGAGCGGAGAUAUAAAAAGGAAGCCCUUCGGGGUGGAAUUUUUACAUCUUAGCGGCGGACGGGUGCGUAACACGUGGGUAACCUGCCCCUAUCACUGGGAUAACACACUGAAAAGUGUGCUAAUACCAGAUAAUAUAAGCUUUUGGCAUCAUUAGCUUAUCAAAGAAUUUCGGAUAGGGAUGGGCCCGCGUCUGAUUAGCUAGUUGGUGAGGUAACGGCUCACCAAGGCAACGAUCAGUAGCCGACCUGAGAGGGUGAUCGGCCACACUGGAACUGAGACACGGUCCAGACUCCUACGGGAGGCAGCAGUGGGGAAUAUUGCACAAUGGGCGAAAGCCUGAUGCAGCAACGCCGCGUGAGCGAUGAAGGCCUUCGGGUCGUAAAGCUCUGUCCUAUGGGAAGAUAAUGACGGUACCAUAGGAGGAAGCCCCGGCUAACUACGUGCCAGCAGCCGCGGUAAUACGUAGGGGGCAAGCGUUAUCCGGAAUUACUGGGCGUAAAGGGUGCGUAGGCGG
Molecule: ribosomal RNA, 517 nt
Filed under: uncultured Clostridium sp.
Lineage: Bacteria; Bacillati; Bacillota; Clostridia; Eubacteriales; Clostridiaceae
Description: bacterial SSU rRNA
Rfam family: Bacterial small subunit ribosomal RNA
Source: RNAcentral